AUACGUAGGUGACAAGCGUUGUCCGGAUUUAUUGGGCGUAAAGCGAGCGCAGGCGGUCUUUUAAGUCUGAUGUGAAAGCCCACGGCUCAACCGUGGAGGGUCAUUGGAAACUGGAAGACUUGAAUGCAGAAGAGGAAAGUGGAAUUCCAUGUGUAGCGGUGAAAUGCGUAGAUAUAUGGAGGAACACCAGUGGCGAAGGCGACUUUCUGGUCUGUAAUUGACGCUUAGGCUCGAAAGCGUGGGGAGCGAACAGGAUUAGAUACCCUGGUAGUCCACGUCGUAAACGAUGAGUGCUAAGUGUUGGAGGGUUUCCGCCCUUCAGUGCUGGAGCUAACGCAUUAAGCACUCCGCCUGGGGAGUACGGCCGCAAGGCUGAAACUCAAAGGAAUUGACGGG
Molecule: ribosomal RNA, 396 nt
Filed under: uncultured bacterium
Lineage: Bacteria
Description: partial 16S ribosomal RNA
Rfam family: Bacterial small subunit ribosomal RNA
Source: RNAcentral